Amphiprion ocellaris (clown anemonefish) is the source of this 379-nucleotide long non-coding RNA. RefSeq lists it as uncharacterized. The transcript is spliced from 4 exons. NCBI's taxonomy places the organism in Eukaryota, Metazoa, Chordata, Actinopteri, Pomacentridae. The record is from RefSeq and is a predicted model, not a curated record.
AUUCAGUGCAGCUUGGGGCGAUUAACUGAUGGAGAAGAAGCAGUUUAAAAACACGGAGGUGAAGAAGUUCGCUGGUUUGUGCUGAACUCUGAUGUGUUGCGGCUUCGCUCCGGCGAACAGAACAUUUUUUUAACUUUCACACAAGGACCCUGAACAGGAUUUGGGCUGCUGGUGGACACGUGAUGGAGUUUUUGCAGCAUGGUGAUCAACUUUGGGAGUUACAUAGGUGCAGGACUUUACGUUGCAGUGAAAAACGAGCCCACAGUGAGGAAAAAUGCGACGAAAAACAUCCAAAAACAACACAUUGGAACCUGCGCAUUACGAAUAUUUUGUACAUUUAGAAAAUAUCAAUUAGCAACAUCAAUUUCUUCUGUGUAUU